This is a long non-coding RNA of Acinonyx jubatus (cheetah), 2646 nucleotides long. RefSeq lists it as uncharacterized. NCBI's taxonomy places the organism in Eukaryota, Metazoa, Chordata, Mammalia, Carnivora, Felidae. The transcript has 3 exons. The record is from RefSeq and is a predicted model, not a curated record.
AUUUCUGAACUGUGUUAUUAGAUGCAUACAAUUUUAGAAUAGAUAAUUUUGUGUUGUAUUGACACUUUUAUUUUUAUGAAAAACCAUUCUUAAUCCAUAGUAAUGCUUAUUAUCUAAAAGUCUUCUUUUUUUCUAAUACUAGUAUAGUCAUGCCACCUUUAUUUUAAUUCGUGUUUUCAUGAUAUAUACUUUACUAUAAUACUUUUUUUUUUGAGAGAAGCACAUCUCAUUUACAAAUCAUCCCCUGCUAUAACUGCUAUAAGUGACCAAUCCAGACUGCCCAUUGCUAGUUGAGCUCCACGUGGAAUAUUGAGCUUCCAGUGAGAGACAGUGGUGUGUCCGCCUGUCAUCUGAUAUUGGUUAUAUGAGAUGAAGUUUCUUCAAAUCUGGAAGACCCAUCUCAGGAUGCCAGCAAGGAGAUGUAUCACUUUCAACUAUAUGUUCUUUUUUUGAGUAAUCCUAUUCAUAUUGAAAUCAUGGGAAUGAGAAACUAAAUUGGCUCAGUCUGACAUAACACCCACUGACCAGAGGAAAGCAGGAUACGUUCCCUGCAGUAGGGAAGUUCUAGUUCCCCAAGACAGAAGUGAGAAGACAUGCAUGCUGAAAAAUGAGAAAUAACAGGUGUCCCCUAAAUUCCCCUGGAUUUGUUCUUUUGCCAUUUCCCCCAUGUUGUCAUAAUAUGUUGGGAAAUAGCAGAGUAUAGGGCAAAGAGACCUGGAAUAGAUUCUGAGUCUUGAAUUUGACCUUCAUCUCUGCGUAACAUUAGACAAGUCAUAUAUAUAACCUUUUGGGUACUUGGUUUUCUCAUCUGUAAAAUUGGAGAGCUUUAAUGUGUUGUUGCCAAGAUUUCUUCCCGCUUCAUAGGGGAAGAAUUUAUGGCACAAACUUGGGCGCUGUCCACGGUUCUGCCAAGUUAAAGUGAAAUCUUUAUAAAUGUACUUCAGGGCUUUAUUGUGAUAAACACCCCCAAUGAGAAUUUAUUCUGUUUAAACAUCAAGAUUCUGAUGGCGUAGACUCAAGUAGCCACCCAGAUUGGGGUGGCUGAGAGCUGUGGAAGAUGUCUUGGGCUGGGAAUUAAGAGAUGUAGUGCAACGCUCAUCUGUGCUUUGGUCUCUCUGACAUUCGUCUACUCUUCACUUAAACACCGCGAUUUUCUUUUGGUCACUCAGUUAUCUGGUAUCAGUCCAUACAAUUCAGGCAGAGCCGAAUUUACCCUCCACACUCCUCCUCCAUUUAGCCCACUUUGUUACGGUGAAAAAUUGCAGGUCUGUACAAGAUUCCAGGUGGGGCUGAGUCAUGUGAACUUUCUAAGGUGCUGGCUUUAGUGACAAGCACCAGUCAGGGAAAGCUCAGCUCCUUUGGAGCAUGAAUAGGAAAGAAACAAACAGUGAAAAAUAAUGCAAAAGGGAGACAAAAAAGGACCUAGACAUUGGAUGGGCUUGCCUCAGGUGCUGAGGAGAUUCAGAAGAUUAACUUCAUUCCACAACCUCCCAUCCAAAGAGGUAGAGUCACCUGAGUCCCUGAGGAAGGUGUCCUCCAUGAAGUAACCCAUUGCUGAGAAAAUUUCAGCAUCUCCUCCAAUAGAUCAGUAGUACUUAGAGUCAAAGACCACUGUAGAAGCAGAGUAAGGUUCCAGAAGGGAGAUCAGUGGUCACACCUGAGUAAGAAACAAGAGUCUAAUUUCAGUUCCACAUACAUUGAGAUUCUGGCUGGGACAAUGGACAUAAAACGAGCAUUUAGUGCUCUGAGGUCAAUACAAUCACAUGUGCAAGUUAUUGCAAGAACAUAAUGGAUGAGCAUGUUGGCUGAUGGUGGUGUUGAGGGGAGACUGCUCAGGGACAGUUUCCUGGUGGGAAUAAGAGCCGAGCCAUCAUAAAAGAAACAUGCGAAUUAGCGGAGAGAGGCUCAUUGCAGGCUAAAGGGACAGGGGGCAAGGGGCAGGGGCAGCAGAGUGACCAUCAGUGGGCACGUUUGCGAGCAUCAGUAGGUGUGUUUGUUGAAUCACAUGCUGUUCAGUGCGGCUGGACCCUGAGUCCAAGGCAAGGACAGGUGGGAGACGGAGCUGGAGAAGGCAGCAGGGGACGGAUCUUGGAGGGCCUUUGAUACCACGAGAAAGAACUUGGACAUUUCCCUGUAGAUCAGAGGUCACACACUGGUAAACCAUGGGCUAAUUUUUACCCUCAGGUGUUUUGUUUGGCCGAUACAACAUUAUUUUACCAUUGUACAUGAGCGAUGAAUCAUGGGAAUCUACUCCUGAAGCCAAAAGCACACUGUAUACACUGUAUGUUAGCUAACUUGACAAUAAUUUUUAUUUAAAAAAUAAAAAUAAAAAAUAAUUGAAAUAGCUUUAAAAUUUUUUAAAUUUCCACUUUGUUGAUGGUUUCUGUUGCUGUGCAGAAGCAUUUUAGUUUGAUGUAGUCGUAUUUUUUUUAUUUUUGAUUUUGCUGCUUGCAGAUUUAAAAAUUGGGUGGCUUCACGUAUCCAAAGAUCUAGAUUUCUGGUCUCUCUUGAAAAAAAUGAGAGGAUCUGGCAAUCCAGGGCCUCUAUACACUGAUACAGGUGAAGAUUACCUGGAUACAAAUAAUAGCUCUCCUCCCUGGAUGGGGCACAUGUGUUUCAAGCUCAUUGCUGUUCCCAGUGCUCUCC